CCUACGGGUGGCAGCAGUAGGGAAUAUUGCUCAAUGGGCGAAACCCUGAAGCAGCAACGCCGCGUGGAGGAUGAAGGUUUUCGGAUUGUAAACUCCUUUUGUUAGAGACGAUAAUGACGGUAUCUAACGAAUAAGCACCGGCUAACUCCGUGCCAGCAGCCGCGGUAAUACGGAGGGGGCAAGCGUUACUCGGAAUCACUGGGUGUAAAGAGCGCGUAGGCGGGAGAGCAAGUCAGAUGUGAAAUCCUAUGGCUUAACCAUAGAACUGCAUUUGAAACUGUUAUUCUAGAGUAGGGGAGAGGUAGGUGGAAUUCGUGGUGUAGGGGUAAAAUGCGUAGAGAUCAAGAGGAAUACCAAUUGCGAAGGCGACCUGCUAGAACAUAACUGACGCUGAUGCGCGAAAGCGUGGGGAGCAAACAGGAUUAGAUACCCCUGUAGUC
Molecule: ribosomal RNA, 440 nt
Filed under: uncultured bacterium
Lineage: Bacteria
Description: partial 16S ribosomal RNA
Rfam family: Bacterial small subunit ribosomal RNA
Source: RNAcentral